This is a small nuclear RNA of Peromyscus maniculatus bairdii (prairie deer mouse), 107 nucleotides long. The record is from Ensembl. NCBI's taxonomy places the organism in Eukaryota, Metazoa, Chordata, Mammalia, Rodentia, Cricetidae.
GUGCUCACUUCAGCAGCACACAUAUUAAAAUAGGAACGAUACAGAGAAGAUUAGCAUGGCCCCUGCAUGAGGAUGACAUGCAAAUUUAUGAAGACGUCCUUAUUUUA